This 784-nucleotide long non-coding RNA is filed under the name Malus domestica (apple). RNAcentral describes it as "long non-coding RNA (MDOM_LNC007286)". The record is from RNAcentral. Lineage: Eukaryota; Viridiplantae; Streptophyta; Magnoliopsida; Rosales; Rosaceae.
ACGUGCUGACCGACACCCGAGGGUUACGAAAGCCAUUUAUUGAAUGCAAAUGCUGAGAUUAAGAAAUAAAUAAGACUUAUAAAUAUAAAGGAAUAAAGAAUAUGCAUUUAAGAAACGUGUUCAGAGCAUACAACUAACUAGACCACUAAAAGAACUAAUAUAAGAUUGAAUGAAUAAAAGAAUGAGUCCUACACCGAGAGGACUCGAAGAUGCCGAUGCGGAAGUGCCUUGACGCCGGGAUUGUAUGCCUCGAUUCUAAGUCCUGAAGGGGGCGCAAAACAAACAUGAGUGGACCAAUUUGAUAUAUAUAUAGUAAAACAGUUAUCAACGUACUUGUUUGGAUUAAAACUUGAUUUUUGGCCCAAAGAUGGAGUCGGCCCAAAAGGAGGCCUGGAGGAAUAGAAGAUCAAAGCCCAGCCGAGACCUGGGAAGGCAGGAAAGAGCCUUUUCUGACUUGAUACAAUUCACAAAGGCCACUUGCCUACCUACCCAAGGACCAAGUGGUGUAGACUGAUCAGACUGCACAGCCCAUAAAGUACUUUAUGGUGGCAUUACAUGUAAUAAAGCUGAUGAGUCAUCACCCUCAGACCGCAUUCGGGCAAAGCUGUUGCUACAGAAGCCAAACCGAGUAGUCUAUAAAAUGAGGAAGAGAAGACAGGAAUAAGGACACUCAAACAAACAAACAAAAGCACAAACUCUGCUCAAAAAGCCAGAUUUGCCUUUCAAAACGAAGCUGUAGUCAGCCCAAGCUUUCAUCCCCCUCGGGAUAAUCUUUUCUCCUAAA